RNAcentral lists this ribosomal RNA (497 nucleotides) under uncultured bacterium. Its description in RNAcentral is "partial 16S ribosomal RNA". It matches the Rfam family "Bacterial small subunit ribosomal RNA", at positions 28 to 507 of the family's 1533-position model. The record is from RNAcentral.
GACGAACGCUGGCGGCGUGCCUAAUACAUGCAAGUUGAGCGCUGAAGGUUGGUACUUGUACCGACUGGAUGAGCAGCGAACGGGUGAGUAACGCGUGGGGAAUCUGCCUUUGAGCGGGGGACAACAUUUGGAAACGAAUGCUAAUACCGCAUAAAAACUUUAAACACAAGUUUUAAGUUUGAAAGAUGCAAUUGCAUCACUCAAAGAUGAUCCCGCGUUGUAUUAGCUAGUUGGUGAGGUAAAGGCUCACCAAGGCGAUGAUACAUAGCCGACCUGAGAGGGUGAUCGGCCACAUUGGGAAUGAGACACGGCCCAAACUCCUACGGGAGGCAGCAGUAGGGAAUCUUCGGCAAUAGACGAAAGUCUGACCGAGCAACGCCGCGUGAGGGAAGAAGGUUUUCGGAUCGUAAAACUCUGUUGGUAGAGAAGAACGUUGGUGAGAGUGGAAAGCUCAUCAAGUGACGGUAACUACCCAGAAAGGGACGGCUAACUACGUG